AAUUUGUGUGUGUCUGUAGGUUUUUAGAGAAAUGGCCUGGUCCAGGAGAGAGUUCGACUGAGCUGAUCCUCGGGGGCAGCCAGGAGAAGGAUGCAAUCGAGCCAGUGUUUCCAAAGAUGAAAGCCCCCACAUUUGCAACUCUGCAGCCCAACAUCAUGAGGAACUUCCGAAGCAAGAUGCCUGAUCUGACACCUGAGAUUCCUGAGCAGAGCAAGAGAGCAGAGGUUUACUUGAGACGGCUGAGACAAAUGCAUCAGCUUUGCUUGACCAACAUGGCUUUUUCCCAAAGGUUGGUAUUGUAGCAAAGUUCUGAGAUUUGAUCCCCUUCCUAUGAGUUUGAAUUGGAUCUUUUGAGUAGCGUUCAGUGAGGAGACAGAAGAUCAGGAGCGUCGUCAAACAAGUCUUUCAACUGCUCUUUAAACUGAGCGGGGUUUGUUUUUCUCUGCUUGCUGUGAACUCUGGUCCAGACUGUUGGACAGAGAGAGAGACUCACUGUGCUGGC
Long non-coding RNA from Pleuronectes platessa (European plaice), 502 nucleotides. RefSeq lists it as uncharacterized. The transcript has 3 exons. NCBI's taxonomy places the organism in Eukaryota, Metazoa, Chordata, Actinopteri, Pleuronectiformes, Pleuronectidae. The record is from RefSeq and is a predicted model, not a curated record.